RNAcentral lists this ribosomal RNA (441 nucleotides) under uncultured bacterium. RNAcentral describes it as "partial 16S ribosomal RNA". It matches the Rfam family "Bacterial small subunit ribosomal RNA", at positions 338 to 795 of the family's 1533-position model. The record is from RNAcentral.
CCUACGGGUGGCUGCAGUGGGGGAUAUUGCACAAUGGGGGGAACCCUGAUGCAGCGACGCCGCGUGGGUGAAGGAGUCUUUCGGUAUGUUAAGCCCUAUCGGCCGGGAAGAAAUUGGACGGUACCUGACUAAGAAGCCUCGGCUAACUACGGGACAGCAGCCGCGGUCAGACGUAGGGGGCACGCGUUAUCCGGAAUCACUGGGUGUAAAGGGAGCGUUGACGGGCAGGCAAGCCUGGAGUGAAAGCCCGGGGCCCAACCCCGGGAGUGCUGGUGAAACUGUCCGGCGUGAGUGCGGGAGGGGCAGGCGGAAUGCGUGGUGUAGCGGUGAAAUGCGUAGAUAUCAGGAGGAACACCGGCGGCGAAGGCGGCCUGCUGGACCGCGACUGACGUUGAGGCUCGAAAGCGUGGGGAGCGAACAGGAUUAGAUACCCGAGUAGUC